AAUUACACUGUCUCCUUUUCCUAAUCAGUGAAACUAAUCUCCCCGUGAAGAAGCGAGGACAUACCUAUAAGACGAGAAGACCCUGUGGAACUUAAAAUUAAGCAGAAAUUGAAUUAAACUCCAAUAUUACUGCAAACUUUCGGCUGGGGCGACCGCGGAGUAUAAACCACCCUCCGCAUUGAACGGAUUAACACCCUAAACAAAAACUACACCUUUAAGUAUCAGCAGACUGACAUCAAUUGACCCGAUACAUCGAUCAAUGAACCAAGCUACCCCAGGGAUAACAGCGCCAUCCACUUCGAGAGCUCAUAUCGACAAGUGGGCUUACGACCUCGAUGUUGGAUCAGGAUACCCCGGUGGUGUAGCCGCUACCAAAGGUUCGUUUGUUCAACGAUUAAAAUCCUACGUGAUC
This 412-nucleotide ribosomal RNA is filed under the name Flectonotus fitzgeraldi (Mount Tucutche treefrog). RNAcentral describes it as "partial large subunit ribosomal RNA". It matches the Rfam family "Bacterial large subunit ribosomal RNA", at positions 2009 to 2605 of the family's 2925-position model. Lineage: Eukaryota; Metazoa; Chordata; Amphibia; Anura; Hemiphractidae. The record is from RNAcentral.